Molecule: ribosomal RNA, 298 nt
Filed under: uncultured bacterium
Lineage: Bacteria
Description: partial 16S ribosomal RNA
Rfam family: Bacterial small subunit ribosomal RNA
Source: RNAcentral
UUCCUACGGGGGGCAGCAGUGGGGAAUAUUGCACAAUGGGGGAAACCCUGAUGCAGCGACGCCGCGUGAAGGAAGAAGUAUUUCGGUAUGUAAACUUCUAUCAGCAGGGAAGAAAAUGACGGUACCUGACUAAGAAGCCCCGGCUAACUACGUGCCAGCAGCCGCGGUAAUACGUAGGGGGCAAGCGUUAUCCGGAUUUACUGGGUGUAAAGGGAGCGUAGACGGUUAUGCAAGUCUGAAGUGAAAGCCCAAGGCUCAACGAUGGAACUGCUUUGGAAACUGUAAAACUGGAGUGCAG